GGCUGGGCAAGGAGCCUGGCACUGUGCUGCAGAGAGCCGGACCUGAUUUCUGCUGGGGAUCAAAGACCAGUGCCAGAUCUGGGGUGGUAUCUGGGGCAUGCCACAAAAUGCCUCUCUCAAAGGAACAAUUCCCAGCUGCUGCUGCAAGAGUUCACUCUCAGCUGGAUCCUCACACAUCUCCACAUCACACUAUUUCUUCUGUUUCAAGUCACACUCCCAAUCAUGUGUGUGAUGAUUUUGAUUCUUUCUCUCCAAGUCAGAAGCUUGAGCAGGCCACUGCCAGCAGGGACUGGACAUUGCAGCACCUCAGGAGGCAGUGCUGGUGCAGAUGCAGGAGCCCUCUGCAGUGGCUGAGCAUCCGCAAACAAAAAACACCACCAGGAUGGGCAGAUGUUCAAGAUGCAGCCUUGGUGACCAGAAGGUCUCUGAAUGCUGCCAUCUCACCCCUUAAAUUCUCACCUCUGCUCUGGGGAUCAGGAGAUGCAGCAGCAACAUCCUGCAGAGACCUCACUCUCAUCACCUUCUAGACAAUUUCAUCUUUCAUCUCCUCUGCCUUUUCUCACAUCAUUUCCUGAUCUCUUCCUAGAUACCAUCUCUAGCUGCUCCUCCUAGGACACUUAUCCUUGCUCCUGGGUGACCACGAAACCAGGCUGUCCAUCCUCCCUCCAGCCUGGCAUCUGCAGCACAGUGUCAGCUUUGGAUUCCCGCUGCUGCCAGCCCUCAGCAAACCUGUCCCCUGCAGCCUGCUGCUUCUAACGGUUGUUGACUUGACAGCUUAUAAGCAGCUCAGCUC
Molecule: long non-coding RNA, 793 nt
Organism: Pogoniulus pusillus (Red-fronted tinkerbird)
Lineage: Eukaryota; Metazoa; Chordata; Aves; Piciformes; Lybiidae
Exons: 3
Source: RefSeq, a predicted model, not a curated record